RNAcentral lists this ribosomal RNA (1453 nucleotides) under uncultured organism. RNAcentral describes it as "bacterial SSU rRNA". It matches the Rfam family "Bacterial small subunit ribosomal RNA". The record is from RNAcentral.
AAUGAACGCUGGCGGCAUGGCUAAGACAUGCAAGUCGAACGGGACAUAUAAUUGGGUAACCGAAAGUAUGGUUAGUGGCGAAAGGGUGAGGAAUAGAUAGGAACGUACCCUGUGCUCUGGGAUAGCGUCUGAAGCUUCGGCUUCUUCCGAAAGGGGCGGUAAUACCAGAUAAUGUCCUUCGGGACCAAAGAUUUAUCGGCAUUGGAGCGGNCUAUCUCCUAUCAGCUUGUUGGUGAGGUAACGGCUCACCAAGGCAACGACGGGUAGCGGGACUGAGAGGUUGGCCCGCCACAUCGGGACUGAGACACUGCCCGGACCUCCACGGAGGGCUGCAGUAAACGGAUAUUGGGCAAUGGGCGAAAGCCUGACCCAGCAAUGCCGCGUGCAGGAUGAAGCCCCUAGGGGUGUAAAACUGCUGUCAGGGGUCAGAAAGCUGGUUUCGGCCAGUUGAUCAACCCCAGAGGAAGUCACGGCUGACUUCGUGCCAGCAGCCGCGGUAAUACGAAGGUGGCAAGCGUUAUUCGGAAUCAUUGGGCUUAAAGGGCACGCAGGCGGAACAGUGUGUGUUGUGUGAAAUCCCCCGGCUUAACCGGGGAAUUGCACAGCAAACUGCUGUUCUUGAGGCAGGUAGGGGUGCCAUGGAACUCUUGGUGGAGCGGUGGAAUGCGUAGAUAUCAAGAGGAACGCCAGAGGUGAAGACGGUGCACUGGGCCUGUCCUGACGCUGAGGUGCGAAAGCGUGGGGAGCGAACGGGAUUAGAUACCCCGGUAGUCCACGCCGUAAACGAUGUCUACUAGGUCGUGGGUGUUCUGACACAUUCACGGCCGGAGCAAAAGUGUUUAGUAGACCGCCUGGGGAGUACGGCCGCAAGGUUAAAACUCAAAUGAAUUGACGGGGGCUCACACAAGCGGUGGAGCAUGUGGAUUAAUUCGAAGCAACGCGCAGAACCUUACCUGGGUUUGACAUGCUUGUAUGCCUUCUCUGAAAGGAGUUAGGCUGCCUUCGGGUGAAACUUGCGCAGGUGCUGCAUGGCUGUCGUCAGCUCGUGUCGUGAGAUGUCGGGUUAAGUCCUUUAACGAGCGAAACCCUUGCCGUUAGUUGCCAGCGAGUAAUGUCGGGGACUCUAACGGGACUGCCGGUGUUAAACCGGAGGAAGGUGGGGAUGACGUCAAGUCCUCAUGGCCUUUAUGCCCAGGGCUUCACACGUGCUACAAUGGCAAUUACAGAGCGACGCGAUACCGCGAGGUGGAGCAAAUCGCAAAAAAAUUGCCUCAGUUCGGAUUGCAGGCUGGCAAUUCGCCUGCAUGAAGUCGGAAUCGCUAGUAAUCGCGUAUCAGCAACCGACGCGGUGAAUGUGUUCCUGAGCAUUGUACACACCGCCCGUCAAGUGAUGGAAGCCGGGAGUACCCGAAGUCGGGUUGCUAACAUUUGGGAGGCGCCUGCCGACGGUAAG